AGGGGGGGGGGAUGUGGGAGACCAUGGCCCCUCCGCCCCCCCCACAAAGGCACAACGAACCCCGGCGCGAACUGCGCCAAGGAACCAAACAAAGAUGUGCGCCCCCUCCGCCUGGAAACAGAGUCGAAGGGGGUCGCGUCGUCGUCCAUAUUACAUAUGAAACGACUCUCGGCAACGGAUAUCUCGGCUCUCGCAUCGAUGAAGAACGUAGCGAAAUGCGAUACUUGGUGUGAAUUGCAGAAUCCCGUGAACCAUCGAGUUUUUGAACGCAAGUUGCGCCCGAAGCCGUCAGGCCGAGGGCACGCCUGCCUGGGUGUCACGCAACGUCGCCAACAAUCCCCUCACCCACCCUGCGAAGGGAAUGGCGGGGGGUGGCGGAUAUUGGCCUCCCGUGCGCACCCGCUCGCGGUUGGCCCAAAGAACAGCCCCUUGGCGAUGGCAGCCACGGCACGCGGUGGUUGGAAGCACUGGCUCCGUGAACCGCCGUGGGCGAGCCUCGUUGACGUGGAGCAAAAGACCCCGACGCAAGCGUCCCAACAAAGCGACCCCA
Molecule: ribosomal RNA, 550 nt
Filed under: Celastrus rugosus
Lineage: Eukaryota; Viridiplantae; Streptophyta; Magnoliopsida; Celastrales; Celastraceae
Description: eukaryotic LSU rRNA
Rfam family: 5.8S ribosomal RNA (bases 164-319)
Source: RNAcentral